RNAcentral lists this ribosomal RNA (255 nucleotides) under uncultured bacterium. Its description in RNAcentral is "partial 16S ribosomal RNA". It matches the Rfam family "Bacterial small subunit ribosomal RNA", at positions 524 to 776 of the family's 1533-position model. The record is from RNAcentral.
GACGUAGGUGGCGAACGUUAUCCGGAAUCAUUGGGCGUAAAGGGUGCGUAGAUGGCAUGAUAAGUUAUUAGUGGGAAAUCGAGGCUCAACCUCGUGGAAGCUAGUAAUACUGUUUUGCUUGAGUACAGAAGAGGUUACGGAACUCCAUGUGGAGCGGUAAAAUGCGUAGAUAUAUGGAAGAACACCAAUAACGGCGAAGGCAGUUAACUAUUCUGUUACUGACAUUGAGGCACGAAAGCGUGGGGAGCAAAACGG